UGGGGCCGGGAGUUCUAUCUCACACAGGAGAGUUUGAUCAUGGCUCAGGACGAACGCCUGAGCGGCGUGCCUAAUACAUGCCAGUGGAGCGGACAGAUGGGAGCUUGCUCCCUGAUGUUAGCGGCGGACGGGUGAGUAACACGUGGGUAACCUGCCUGUAAGACUGGGAUAACUCCGGGAAACCGGGGCUAAUACCGGAUGGUUGUUUGAACCGCAUGGUUCAGACAUAAAAGGUGGCUUCGGCUACCACUUACAGAUGGACCCGCGGCGCAUUAGCUAGUUGGUGAGGUAACGGCUCACCAAGGCGACGAUGCGUAGCCGACCUGAGAGGGUGAUCGGCCACACUGGGACUGAGACACGGCCCAGACUCCUACGGGAGGCAGCAGUAGGGAAUCUUCCGCAAUGGACGAAAGUCUGACGGAGCAACGCCGCGUGAGUGAUGAAGGUUUUCGGAUCGUAAAGCUCUGUUGUUAGGGAAGAACAAGUGCCGUUCAAAUAGGGCGGCACGUUAGACGUGUAACUAACCAGAAAGCCACGGCUAACUACGUGCCAGCCGCCGCGGUAAUU
Molecule: ribosomal RNA, 567 nt
Filed under: Bacillus subtilis
Lineage: Bacteria; Bacillati; Bacillota; Bacilli; Caryophanales; Bacillaceae
Description: bacterial SSU rRNA
Rfam family: Bacterial small subunit ribosomal RNA
Source: RNAcentral